RNAcentral lists this ribosomal RNA (102 nucleotides) under Rugamonas rivuli. RNAcentral's name for it is "Bacterial small subunit ribosomal RNA". It matches the Rfam family "Bacterial small subunit ribosomal RNA", at positions 1432 to 1533 of the family's 1533-position model. The record is from Rfam by way of RNAcentral. RNAcentral also lists the same sequence under 1 other name. Lineage: Bacteria; Pseudomonadati; Pseudomonadota; Betaproteobacteria; Burkholderiales; Oxalobacteraceae.
AGCUUAACCGCAAGGAGGGCGCUUACCACGGUAGGAUUCGUGACUGGGGUGAAGUCGUAACAAGGUAGCCGUAUCGGAAGGUGCGGCUGGAUCACCUCCUUU